Molecule: ribosomal RNA, 468 nt
Filed under: uncultured bacterium
Lineage: Bacteria
Description: partial 16S ribosomal RNA
Rfam family: Bacterial small subunit ribosomal RNA
Source: RNAcentral
GACGAACGCUGGCGGCGUGCUUAACACAUGCAAGUCGAACGGAAAGGCCCUGCUUUUGUGGGGUGCUCGAGUGGCGAACGGGUGAGUAACACGUGAGUAACCUGCCCUUGACUUUGGGAUAACUUCAGGAAACUGGGGCUAAUACCGGAUAGGAGCUCCUGCUGCAUGGUGGGGGUUGGAAAGUUUCGGCGGUUGGGGAUGGACUCGCGGCUUAUCAGCUUGUUGGUGGGGUAGUGGCUUACCAAGGCUUUGACGGGUAGCCGGCCUGAGAGGGUGACCGGCAACUUGGGGCUUGGGAAAGGCCCAGGCCCCCUAGGGGGGGAAGCGGGGGGGAAUGUGGAAAAGUGGGGGGAGGCCGGAUGAAGCAACGCCCGGGGGGGGAGGCCGGCCUGCGGGUUGUAACCCGCUUCCGCCUGGGACGAAGGGGGGGUGCGGGUAGGGGGAAAAAAACCCCCGGCAAACUACGUC